AUUGAACGCUGGCGGCAUGCCUAACACAUGCAAGUCGAACGGCAGCACGGCAGUAGCAAUACUGUGGGUGGCGAGUGGCGGACGGGUGAGGAAUACGUCGGAAUCUGCCCAAUCGUGGGGGAUAACUAACCGAAAGGUUAGCUAAUACCGCAUACGACCGAGAGGUGAAAGCGGGGGACCGCAAGGCCUCGCGCGAUUGGAUGAGCCGACGUCGGAUUAGCUUGUUGGUGGGGUAAAGGCCUACCAAGGCAACGAUCCGUAGCUGGUCUGAGAGGAUGAUCAGCCACACUGGAACUGAGACACGGUCCAGACUCCUACGGGAGGCAGCAGUGGGGGAAUAUUGGACAAUGGGCGGAAGGCCUGAUCCAGCAAUGCCGCGUGUGUGAAGAAGGCCUCGG
This 398-nucleotide ribosomal RNA is filed under the name uncultured bacterium. Its description in RNAcentral is "bacterial SSU rRNA". It matches the Rfam family "Bacterial small subunit ribosomal RNA", at positions 29 to 420 of the family's 1533-position model. The record is from RNAcentral.